Molecule: ribosomal RNA, 253 nt
Filed under: uncultured bacterium
Lineage: Bacteria
Description: partial 16S ribosomal RNA
Rfam family: Bacterial small subunit ribosomal RNA
Source: RNAcentral
UACGAAGGGGGCGAGCGUUGUUCGGAAUUACUGGGCGUAAAGGGCGCGCAGGCGGCUCUGAAAGUCAGAUGUGAAAGCCCCGGGCUUAACCUGGGAACUGCAUUUGAUACUCCAGAGCUUGAGUACGGGAGAGGAGAGUGGAAUUCCCAGUGUAGAGGUGAAAUUCGUAGAUAUUGGGAAGAACACCGGUGGCGAAGGCGGCUCUCUGGCCCGAUACUGACGCUGAUGCACGAAAGCGUGGGGAGCAAACAGG